This is a long non-coding RNA of Cornus florida, 3171 nucleotides long. RefSeq lists it as uncharacterized. Lineage: Eukaryota; Viridiplantae; Streptophyta; Magnoliopsida; Cornales; Cornaceae. The transcript has 2 exons. The record is from RefSeq and is a predicted model, not a curated record.
UUCAAGAGCGCUUGAGUUGUGUACUAGUUUCGUUAAAGAAACACUGCUAAGUGCGAAAAUUUGGCAUAUCAUUUCACUAUUUUGUUUCUAAAUUUACCAAUCUCAUCCGAGCCUUAGGUUUCUCUUCAGCCUCCCCAAUCGCCUCCAUCUCUAUUCUCGGUCUCAACUCUGAACUUACCCCCCCUCUCUCUCUCUGCAACUCCCCAGUCGCCUCCAUCUCUAUUCUCUUUUCUCAACUCUGAACUUGCCCCCCUCUCUCUCUCUGCAACUGCUGACUAGAAAAUCUACAAGAAUCAAAAGUUCAAAACCCAUAUAUUUCAGUUUAUCUAUCUGUCUGCAAGAAUCAAAAGUUCAAAACCUAUAUUACUUGAUCAAAACCCAUAUCUGAUAUACCAGAUUGUUCAAAAAAUCAAAGCCCAUAUCUUUCAGUUUCCAUCGCCCGCUGUUCCAAUUCGGGUUCGCCGUUCAUAAGCUUCAGCAGCUGUCUCUCAACAGCCGCUGUGUGUUUUUGUGUAUUGAUCUGUUGAUUAAUCGAUUCCUGUUUUUUUUUUUUUUUUUUUUUUUUUUGAUGAAUACAUGACCCAUCUAUUCGAUUUUGGUGUUAAAGUUGGGCAGAGGAGUUCAAUUUUUGAUGAAGAUGCCUACUAACAGGUUAGGGAUUUCAAUUUUUGAAGAGGAUGCCUACUAGGAAAGGGUUUCAAAGAAUUGGAUUUUGGAGGAAAGUCGGAGGAAGGAGAGAAGGAUGUGGUGGAAGUGAUGAUGGCAGGCAGCAGGCCGAGUUAGGGUUUGUGAAUGGGAAGGACAUGAGGUUCUUGAUUCAUCUUUUCAUUCUCUGACAUACAAUGUUGUUUUGAUUCUGAUUAAUUUUUUUUUUCUUCAUUUUUGGGGCUUUGAUUGCAGUCAUCGACUGUUGUUGAAAUUCCUAGACCAACAUUGUAUAUCAGAGAAUGAAACGAUCAACAAGUUUAACGCUCAUGAAGAAACUGAAGAACAGACUGUGUCAGCUUUUGACUUCUUGUAUCUUCCAAUGGAUUUCAAGUAUGUUCAUACUAUAUACAUGUGUGUGUGUUAUUAUAAGUAUGUACAUUCAAGUUAUUGUUUACUUGAUUGAUAUUGUUUCAUUGAAAGUGAUGGUUAUGUUCAUUUCCAUUGUUAAGAAAAGUUAUUUUUCCCACCAAGGCUAUAGCUUUUUGGUGGGCGAAGUGGUGGGUCACGUGGGUGUGGGUGUGUGAGUGUGUUUAUAUACAUGUAUGUAUAUAUGUAUCAUUUUCUGUGCGUAUCACCAUUCGUCCCAGCCCUACAUGCCUCAACAAGCCUAGGGUGCGCGCUCUCUCUCUCAACACAACACUAACAUCACCUAACUGAUAAGUGAAACAGAAUCGCAAAUCAGGUAAGAUUUUCUGUCUUCUGAAUUUUUGGUCUCGUUCCAAUCAAUAUUUAUAUGCAAAAGUUGGUCUAGAAUUGGUUUGUUAUCAACCCGAGAAUUUCCUAUUUGUUAUAUUAUUGCAAAUUUCGUCACGGAGAAAAUUAACAUACAAAUUUUUUUUGUUUGAUGGACUUGUUUUUAAGAUUCUUAUGGAAUUGCAGAGAGAGAGGAAAGAGAUUCAUUUGGUCUGGGAUGUUUGUGGGUUGCUGCAUUAGAGUCUAGGUUUAUGUAUAUUGUUUUUUAAGGUACAUGGUGAUGCUGGAACAUGCAAGUACAAUUUGAUACAUCCCUCUUUGAUAUAUAUAUAUAUAUAUAUUAGGGGUUUUGGGUUUAUAAUUCUAUCCAUUAAUCCUUUGAUUUAAUUGAUUCUUUUUUCGGAAUUUCUGUCUGUUUAUCCAUCAAUUAAUGUGUUUGCUUUUUUGGAUAUAUGUGUGUGGGUGGGUGUGUGUGAUUCAACCCUUUUUCUCAGUUAAGUUGAUCUUGCAAUGACAAGGUUAAUUUCUGGAUUAAUUUUUAUGUGCUCUAUCUUGAUUUGAUAUUUAAUUACUUUUGCUUUCAUUUUGUUGCAACUGUGCUAUUGUGUAUACAUAGAGACAUCCAUAUUUCAUAUUUAAUUAAUUGUGUUUUAUUUUUUGAUUUCUUUUCCCAUCUGUUAAAAGGGAUAUAUUUAUGUUGAAUGGAUGAAUGUUUUUAGUGAGUGAUUAAAGCCUUCUUCUCAGUCUAAACUGAUCUUGCAAUGAAAAUGUCAAUUUGUGGUUAAAUUUUGAUGUGUUCUAUAUUGAUUUCAUAUUUAAUUACUUUUGCUUUUAUUUUGUUGUAACUGUGUUAUUGUAUAUACAUUCAAAUAUACGUAUUUCAUAUUUAAGUACUUUUGGUUUAAUUUUGUCACAAUUUUGCUAUUGUAUAUACAUUCAAACAUACAUAUUUCAUAUUUAAAUAAAUAAAUAAAGAAGAUUUUGUGCUCCGUCUCUUAAAAGAAUAACUUGCAUUAUUAUUAUUUGGAUUAAAUUUUUACCCAUUAAUUGUUGCUGCUUAUUGAACAUAUAAAAAAUUUAAAUUUUAACUGAUUAAUUGUGUGUGUUAUUGUAUAUUUCUUCCUUUGUGCCUUUCGACGAAUAUAUAUAUAUAUAUAUAUAUAUAUAUAUCUUCCUACGUUCUUUACAUAUUCAGCCAGUAUUUUGCUCAAAUCCAACUUGAAGCGAAGUUGGAUUUCUAUCAGGGUCCAUAUGCUUGGAGUUCCACUGCAAUUGCUAUUAGUAGCUUGUGUAUGAACUUUUAGUAGCUUAUGUUAAUUUGCCUAAAAUAGAACUUCUGGUUUAAUUUCAGGGAAGAUCUCUGAUUUCAAUUCUUGAUGGAGGAGAAGGCUACUGCAAUUCAACAAAGUAACAGGCUUCGUCAGGAACUGGAACUCUUGAGGCAUGACAGCAACAAAAUUUCAGGAAGAAGAUGCUGCAUGAUAAUUAUUGUUGUACAUUGAAAAAGUCAUGUCUAGAAAAAGGCAGUGGCCGAAUGCCCGGUGUCAACAGUUCGAGAUGAAUGACUGUCAUUGUGUAGGGACUGGGUAAGAUAAGCCUUUCACCUCCUCCAGUGCCGGUGUUCAAAGAAUUCUACCAUUGUUACCAUUAUUGAAGAGAGGUUAUACCACAUUGGCCUAGUUUAUUUUGUGAUUGUGAAACAAAUCCUUGUGAAAUGCUUGUACAUUACUAGAAUUAAAUUAUGAGACACUAUUAAUUUCUUUUUCAAAA